UGUGUAGGCGGUUUCGUAUGUCGGGUGUGAAAGCCCAUGGCUCAACCAUGGAAUUGCAUCCGAAACUGCGGGACUAGAGUACAGUAGGGGAGAGCGGAAUUCUAGGUGUAGCGGUGAAAUGCGUUGAUAUCUAGAAGAACACCGGUGGCGAAGGCGGCUCUCUGGAAUGUUACUGACGCUGAGACACGAAAGUCGGGGGAGCAAACAGGAUUAGAUACCCUGGUAGUCC
RNAcentral lists this ribosomal RNA (229 nucleotides) under uncultured bacterium. RNAcentral's name for it is "partial 16S ribosomal RNA". It matches the Rfam family "Bacterial small subunit ribosomal RNA", at positions 568 to 796 of the family's 1533-position model. The record is from RNAcentral.